Molecule: unclassified non-coding RNA, 253 nt
Filed under: plant metagenome
Description: partial contains small subunit ribosomal RNA and internal transcribed spacer 1
Rfam family: Eukaryotic small subunit ribosomal RNA (bases 1-47)
Source: RNAcentral
AAUGUCGUAACAAGGUUUCCGUAGGUGAACCUGCGGAAGGAUCAUUACUGAGUUAAGGGGUUCCACCAAGGCCCGGAACCUCCGACCCUUUGUGUUUAAACUAUACCAUGUUGCUUCGGCGGGCCCGCUCCCUAGGGGGCCGCCGGGCUGUUUAACCACAGUCUGGCCCAGUGCCCGUCGAUAGCCCAAAGCUUCAAAGCUCUUGAUAAAGUCGUGUCGUCUGAGUAAAAGCAAACAAAAUUUAAAAUUAAAA